This 245-nucleotide ribosomal RNA is filed under the name uncultured bacterium. RNAcentral's name for it is "partial 16S ribosomal RNA". It matches the Rfam family "Bacterial small subunit ribosomal RNA", at positions 524 to 768 of the family's 1533-position model. The record is from RNAcentral.
UACGUAGGUGGCAAGCGUUGUCCGGAAUUACUGGGCGUAAAGGGAGCGUAGGCGGCUUUUUAAGUGAGAUGUGAAAUACCCGGGCUUAACUUGGGAAUUGCAUUUCAUACUGGAUAGCUAGAGUGCAGGAGAGGAAAGCGGAAUUCCCAGUGUAGCGGUGAAAUGCGUAGAGAUUGGGAGGAACACCAGUGGCGAAGGCGGCUUUCUGGACUGUAACUGACGCUGAUGCUCGAGAGCGUGGGGAG